UACGUAGGGCGCAAGCGUUAUCCGGAAUUAUUGGGCGUAAAGAGCUCGUAGGCGGUUUGUCGCGUCUGCCGUGAAAGUCCGGGGCUCAACUCCGGAUCUGCGGUGGGUACGGGCAGACUAGAGUGAUGUAGGGGAGACUGGAAUUCCUGGUGUAGCGGUGAAAUGCGCAGAUAUCAGGAGGAACACCGGUGGCGAAGGCGGGUCUCUGGGCCGUAACUGACGCUGAGGAGCGAAAGCAUGGGGAGCGAACAGG
RNAcentral lists this ribosomal RNA (253 nucleotides) under uncultured bacterium. Its description in RNAcentral is "partial 16S ribosomal RNA". It matches the Rfam family "Bacterial small subunit ribosomal RNA", at positions 524 to 776 of the family's 1533-position model. The record is from RNAcentral.